GAUGAAGAACGUAGCGAAAUGCGAUAAGUAGUGUGAAUUGCAGAAUUCAGUGAAUCAUCGAAUCUUUGAACGCACAUUGCGCCCCUUGGUAUUCCAUGGGGCAUGCCUGUUCGAGCGUCAUUUGUACCUUCAAGCCUUGCUUGGUGUUGGGUGUUUGUCUCGCCUCUGCGCGCAGACUCGCCUCAAAACAAUUGGCAGCCGGCGUAUUGAUUUCGGAGCGCAGUACAUCUCGCGCUCUGCACUCAGAACGACGACGUCCAAAAGUACAUUUUUACACUCUUGACCUCGGAUCAGGUAGGGAUACCCGCUGAACUUAAGCAUAUCAAUAAGCGGAGGA
This 337-nucleotide unclassified non-coding RNA is filed under the name soil metagenome. RNAcentral describes it as "partial contains 5.8S ribosomal RNA, internal transcribed spacer 2, and large subunit ribosomal RNA". The stretch from base 1 to 120 matches the Rfam family "5.8S ribosomal RNA", at positions 35 to 154 of the family's 154-position model. The record is from RNAcentral.